AGAGAGUGGUGAGAAAAGGAGGGGCUCUCCCAGCUGAGGCCAACUAGCAGGCAGCCAGAAGGCAGGUGGAGGGGAAGCAGGAAAUCAUUUCUUGAAACAUUCUGACCUCCUCCUUGGGAAACCCUUCUGGAGAAAAAGAGCCUGACAACACUGCAGACUCACAACUUCCCUACCCAGCCUGGGCCCUAGAAACAAGGAACUCAAGUCCAAACCAUGCAUGGCUCUGCCGAGCUGCACGUGAACUUGACCCAAUUCACUGCGCUAAUUCCAGAAAUCCGAGCCACCCUCAAAGGAUAAUCAUGUUAUCAAGAUGCUCUCUUGUUGGCUUAGAGCUUUAUGGCCAACAAGAUGCUCUCCCACUACCAACGAAGGGUCUACCCUGACCUCUCCUCUACCCUCUGCCAGAGCCGGAUACAGCACCACCCAAGACAGACUGGAGAGCAACAGAGGCUUGACCUUGGGGACAUUCAGAAGUAAGCAGCUAGGAUAAGGUGGGGGUGGGGCACCAGUACUAGGGCUCGAAUCUGGCUUUCAUUCCUAGAUGAGGACGGUGCUCUUGGCCUAGACAUCCUCUAAAAAGAACAGAUUUUGAAGAAAAGAAUGUAGUGAGUGUGGGCAUAGCUCAUGUGAGUGAGCUAUACACAGUGCCAACCAGCCAUGAGGACAUUUUAGCCAAACAGCACUGCCCACCUUCCUCUGACAUCCCCAAGCUGGGGCAAGGAUCCUGAGGCCUCUACUCCAACCAGAGAUAGCUGGGGAGUUGAAGGGAGUUGAGUUGGGAAGGAAGAGUCAAAGGGAAAAGGUAGGAGAGAGAGGAGCCAAGAUGAGAGUAGGUACAUAGGAAACUACCAAGGACUGCACAAAUAUUUUUCUGACUCCCUGACACACCCAAGUACACCUUCACACACACCCAUAUACAUAGGACUGCGGCACUGCAAAUUCAGUGGUGUCAUUCACACUGUAGUCAAAUGUAAACGGUACUCCCUGGAAUUGUGCAGUGCACAGCCUGAGCAUCUAUCCAUGGCAGGCCUGCCUCAUGCACAUAUGCUCAUGUAUAAGAACACUCAUACUCACAAGUAUUCAUGCAUGCACACAAGCAUAUA
Mustela erminea (ermine) is the source of this 1103-nucleotide long non-coding RNA. RefSeq lists it as uncharacterized. The transcript has 3 exons. The record is from RefSeq and is a predicted model, not a curated record. Lineage: Eukaryota; Metazoa; Chordata; Mammalia; Carnivora; Mustelidae.